ACGCUCGACACCUACGGGGGGCAGCAGUGGGGAAUAUUGCACAAUGGGGGAAACCCUGAUGCAGCGACGCCGCGUGAGCGAAGAAGUAUCUCGGUAUGUAAAGCUCUAUCAGCAGGGAAGAAGAUGACGGUACCUGACUAAGAAGCACCGGCUAAAUACGUACCAGCAGCCGCGGUAAUCUGAGCGGGCUGGCAAGGC
RNAcentral lists this ribosomal RNA (198 nucleotides) under uncultured bacterium. RNAcentral describes it as "partial 16S ribosomal RNA". It matches the Rfam family "Bacterial small subunit ribosomal RNA", at positions 328 to 539 of the family's 1533-position model. The record is from RNAcentral.